This 301-nucleotide ribosomal RNA is filed under the name uncultured bacterium. RNAcentral's name for it is "partial 16S ribosomal RNA". It matches the Rfam family "Bacterial small subunit ribosomal RNA", at positions 509 to 807 of the family's 1533-position model. The record is from RNAcentral.
CAGCAGCCGCGGUAAUACGUAGGUGGCAAGCGUUGUCCGGAACUAUUGGGCGUAAAGGGCUCGCAGGCGGUUUCUUAAGUCUGAUGUGAAAGCCCCCGGUUCAACCGGGGAGGGUCAUUGGAAACUGGGAAACUUGAGUGCAGAAGAGGAGAGUGGAAUUCCACGUGUAGCGGUGAAAUGCGUAGAGAUGUGGAGGAACACCAGUGGCGAAGGCGACUCUCUGGUCUGUAACUGACGCUGAGGAGCGAAAGCGUGGGGAGCGAACAGGAUUAGAUACCCCAGUAGUCCCUGUCUCUUAUAC